UGGGGAAUAUUGCACAAUGGACGGAAGUCUGAUGCAGCAACGCCGCGUGCGGGAUGACGGCCUUCGGGUUGUAAACCGCUUUUUCUCAUGACGAAGUUUUUUGACGGUAGUGGGGGAAGAAGCACCGGCUAACUACGUGCCAGCAGCCGCGGUGAUACGUAGGGUGCGAGCGUUGUCCGGAAUUAUUGGGCGUAAAGAGCUUGUAGGCGGUUUGUCGCGUCGAUAGUGCAAACUCAGUGCUUAACGCUGAGCCUGCUGUUGAUACGGGCAGGCUAGAGGGAGGUAGGGGAGAAUGGAAUUCCCGGUGGAGCGGUGGAAUGCGCAGAUAUCGGGAGGAACACCGGUGGCGAAGGCGGUUCUCUGGGCCUUUCCUGACGCUGAGAAGCGAAAGCGUGGGGAGCGAACAGG
Molecule: ribosomal RNA, 408 nt
Filed under: Fusobacteriota bacterium
Lineage: Bacteria; Fusobacteriati; Fusobacteriota
Description: Fusobacteria bacterium partial 16S ribosomal RNA
Rfam family: Bacterial small subunit ribosomal RNA
Source: RNAcentral